This 489-nucleotide ribosomal RNA is filed under the name uncultured bacterium. RNAcentral describes it as "partial 16S ribosomal RNA". It matches the Rfam family "Bacterial small subunit ribosomal RNA", at positions 30 to 507 of the family's 1533-position model. The record is from RNAcentral.
AGUGAACGCUGGCGGUAGGCCUAACACAUGCAAGUCGAACGGCAGCACAGGAGAGCUUGCUCUCUGGGUGGCGAGUGGCGGACGGGUGAGGAAUACAUCGGAAUCUGCCCAGUCGUGGGGGAUAACGUAGGGAAACUUACGCUAAUACCGCAUACGACCUUCGGGUGAAAGAGGGGGAUCGCAAGACCUCUCGCGAUUGGAUGAGCCGAUGUCGGAUUAGCUAGUUGGCGGGGUAAUGGCCCACCAAGGCGACGAUCCGUAGCUGGUCUGAGAGGAUGAUCAGCCACACGGAAACGGAGAAACGGGCAAGACGCCAAGGGGAGGCAGCAGGGGGGAAAAUUGGACAAGGGGGGCAAGCCGGAUCCAGCCAAACCGCGGGGGGAAAGAAGGCCUUCGGGUUGUAAAGCCCUUUUGUGGGGAAAGAAAUCUUUCAGGCAAUACCCUGGGAGGAUGACGGUACCCAAAGAAUAAGCACCGGCUAACUUCGUG